Molecule: non-coding RNA, 27 nt
Filed under: Mus musculus (house mouse)
Lineage: Eukaryota; Metazoa; Chordata; Mammalia; Rodentia; Muridae
Source: RNAcentral
UGGUUAGUUCUCCUAACUAUGGGGCUC